AAUAGAAAAAAAAGACACUUUUAACCAGACAGUGGCUUGGGCUGUCCACAUAGACAUCUCUGCUCUUGAGCCAUCACCUCAGCUGACUUGUGUUGAAGAUGGGACAUUUUACUCUUGUGGCUUUCACAGCAGUGCUGUUUUCCCUUUUCGUGGAAUCCGAAGCAAACCCAUUUGUUUACAAUUACGAAGGGCUAAAAAUUGGAGGGCUCAUCUUCACCGGCCUCUUAAUAGCUGGAGGGGUCAGCACCUUACUCUAUAAGAGAUGCUCCAUGAUAGGAAGCAAAAGAACUGACAAAAGUGAAAUCUGAUAACACUCCUGACAAACCGGUUUCAUCCCGGAAGAGGCGUUAAAAGGGAAUUGGUGGAGAGACUUGGUGUGUGAUGGGAAUUAAAUGGAAGCACACCUGCUCAAACAAGGUUAUACCUUGACUGAAGAAAUGCAAAGAGCUGUCCCAAUCUAUUUUCUAUUUGAAAUAAAUGUUAAUUAAUUAUGUCUUAAAAUUAAUGAUCUGAAAUCAUUCUUCUAAUUUUGGCAUGUUAUUUGGUAUAAAUUAAAUGAAUUAAGUUCCCACCCUUGAGGUUUCAGGGUAAUUUAUUUUCAUUUCUGUUUAUGUCUGUAAAUACACAGGGUCUGUACAACACAUGAAAAUAAUUCAUUCUUUAUUAUAAUAUUAUAUAUUUCUAGGGACCAUUUUAGUUUUGAUCAGUUCUAUUAUGUGGCUAAGAAUAUAUCAAUGCAACACCUUUCAAGUGAAAUAAAUUACAGUACAUUUUAAAAUUUU
Long non-coding RNA from Melanotaenia boesemani (Boeseman's rainbowfish), 782 nucleotides. RefSeq lists it as uncharacterized. The record is from RefSeq and is a predicted model, not a curated record. Lineage: Eukaryota; Metazoa; Chordata; Actinopteri; Atheriniformes; Melanotaeniidae. The transcript is spliced from 7 exons.